AUUCAUGAUGAGGUUCAUUGAUUUAUCCAUAUUUCUUUAAAGACACGUCUUACCAUUAUACGUAUUUUAAAUAGGAUUCUUUCAAAAUUUAUUCCUACCACAUUAUAUGAGAUAUGGUAUGGUAAGAAGUUGAGUCUGAGUUACCUUAAGACUUAAGGAUGUCCAGCCUAUGUUAAAAGACAGAAAGCUGACAAGUUAGAGGAUAGAUCUAUUAUAGCUCAGUUUAUAGGAUAUUCUAAGAAAUUC
RNAcentral lists this long non-coding RNA (246 nucleotides) under Elaeis guineensis (African oil palm). Its description in RNAcentral is "long non-coding RNA (EGUI_LNC035682)". Lineage: Eukaryota; Viridiplantae; Streptophyta; Magnoliopsida; Arecales; Arecaceae. The record is from RNAcentral.